Molecule: long non-coding RNA, 1213 nt
Filed under: Parus major (Great Tit)
Lineage: Eukaryota; Metazoa; Chordata; Aves; Passeriformes; Paridae
Description: lncRNA (ENSPMJG00000001870.1)
Source: RNAcentral
AUGUCUCUUCUCUUACACCAGGUCUGUUCUUUGCCUCCUUGGGAGGGAACCGGCUCUUGCCACAUCUCUGCACUUUCCAGCACAGUGAGCCCCUGUCAGGAGCCUUCAGCCACUCCAGAACCAAAGCACAGGGAAACCACAGACAAGAACCAGGGUGUUGCAACACCAUUGUACUGUCACAAGUCAUCGUGGCUAAAAAUAAACUGCUGCUAAACAACCCUCAGACUCACUUUCACCAAAUGCUGUAAGGAGGACGCCCAUCAAGAGCACUAACUCAGGGCACAAAUAACUUCAAAAACUCUGAGGGAUUUAAUUUUUUGUCUCUCUUCUGAGGUUAAGUCCCCCCAAGCUCCUGUCCUGAUCCUCCAUGAUCCCGAUCAAGUACCCUGGAGCACCUGUGGCUUCUCCACAAGCUCUUCAAGGUGAAGGUUUUUUCCCUGCUUUCCUCACUUCAGGGGUCUCAUGGAGCCCCAGGAGGGCAAAUCCCCAUGUGGGGACAGAACAACCCUCACCUCUGCUUUGAGCUGAGUUGAAGAGUGCUGUGAGCUCUGGUUCUCAGCUCGCCCUGUCAUGCUUUGUGGUGAUAUGCAAGUUUUGCACAGCUCUGCAGGGAGUGGGGAGCCAGCCUUGCGGAAAGCCGCCCGCCUGUGGACAAAAGCCAGAAACAAAGCCCAGUGAGCUGUUCUGUCUGAGCCAGGACUGCUCCAUCUCCGGCUUCUGCUGGUACUGGCAGCAGUGGAAAGCCAGGGUCAUCUUCUCAGCUGAUCUUGCUUCAGUCUUAGCAGGUUAUCUGAAGUUCAGCUCUCCCCCGCUGCCCCUGUGUGAGCCUGUUGUGUGAUAGCUGCCCUGAGUGGCAGCCACACGCUGUCCUGUUGUUUGAAAGGCUGUGCUAGGCAGGCUCCUGUCAGCUCUUCACCUUUUAAAACAAGCUGCAGAGAGUGGAUCUGUUCCAUGAGCUCCUGAGGACACUUUUGUCAAGUGUCUCUGUGCACAUCAGACCCAGUCCCACUGCAGCAGCUGCUUCCCGUGACCAAGACAACAGCUCUCAGCUUCGGAGUGUGCCUCAUUCACACGAUCUUCCUUCCUUAUCCCACACACUUUCUUUCCAUUCUUUUCCAGCUCUGUGAGAAAGAUGAAGAGCCUGGAAACAAAAAGUUAGUUUUUCCCUCCCUCUCUCCCAAAUGCAGAGGUGAUCUGCAGCCCCACGAGACCC